This 380-nucleotide ribosomal RNA is filed under the name uncultured eukaryote. Its description in RNAcentral is "partial 18S ribosomal RNA". It matches the Rfam family "Eukaryotic small subunit ribosomal RNA", at positions 592 to 976 of the family's 1831-position model. The record is from RNAcentral.
CAAUAGCGUAUAUUAAAGUUGUUGCAGUUAAAAAGCUCGUAGUUGGAUUUGUGGCGUACGGUGUGUUCCGGGCACUUGUUGUCUGAGUAACCUGCUGUUGCCAUCCUUGGGUGGAACCUGUGUGGCAUUAGGUUGUCGUGCAGGGGAUGCCCAUCAUUUACUGUGAAAAAAUUAGAGUGCUCAAAGCAGGCUUAUGCCGUUGAAUAUAUUAGCAUGGAAUAAUGAGAUAGGACUUUUUUGCUAUUUUGUUGGUUUGCGCAAAGAGGUAAUGAUUAAUAGGGACAGUUGGGGGUAUUCGUAUUCCAUUGUCAGAGGUGAAAUUCUUGGAUUUUUGGAAGACGAACUACUGCGAAAGCAUUUACCAAGGAUGUUUUCAUUAA